UCUCUCCCCAUACUUUCUCUCACCAAGUCAGCAGACAACUUUGUGCUAGGUUUGCUUGCUAAAUCUGACUGAACCUUGGGUUUUCUUGCAGGCUGGAAACUGCAUGCGAUUGUGCUCAAUACUGUGGAGAAUGCCUCAAACAGAUCACACAUGACUUAACACAGAUAAAAGCAUGAGAUCCACAAUGCUGUAGCCUCUUCUGCUUCUGGACCCUGCACCAGAGGCAGAUGGCUGGGCUGAUCUGUGUGUGGACAGGCAGAGGCAUUCAGCUCCUGUUGCCACAGAGGAAAGGUGGAUGGAGCACUUACUUACGAUAGCUGGGGAUUCACCUUGCAGUGCAAUAAUGAUCUCUGAUGCCAAGAUCUUCUAUGGCUUUCCUGCUCCAGAAAAUGCUGUAUACUAGUGAAGCCACCUUGGAUUUCUCACACUGCAGAGCCCACAGAUAGCCCCUCUCAGGCUUGACAGAAUUCAUUCAUCACCUUGCCAGACUCCCUCCUCUUACUUGAGUCCCAUUUUGAGGCUUG
RNAcentral lists this long non-coding RNA (524 nucleotides) under Struthio camelus australis. RNAcentral describes it as "lncRNA (ENSSCUG00000016855.1)". The record is from RNAcentral. Lineage: Eukaryota; Metazoa; Chordata; Aves; Struthioniformes; Struthionidae.